ACCACCAUGACCACCACCACCACCAUGACCACCGCCACCACCACCACCACCACCACCACCACCACCACCACCACCACCACCACCACAGCACUCAGCGUGGCACAGAAGGAACAGAGCCAGGCGGAAAACAAGGACUAAGAUCCACUGCCACUUCCAAAUAAGGCUACCACCACCAUGACCACCAUGACCACCACCACCACCAUGACCACCGCCACCACCACCACCACCACCACCACCACCACCACCACCACCACCACCACCACCACCACCACCACAGCACUCAGCGUGGCACAGAAGGAACAGAGCCAGGCGGAAAACAAGGACUAAGAUCCACUGCCACUUCCAAAUAAGGCUACCACCACCAUGACCACCAUGACCACCACCACCACCAUGACCACCGCCACCACCACCACCACCACCACCACCACCACCACCACCACCACCACCACCACAGCACUCAGCGUGGCACAGAAGGAACAGAGCCAGGCGGAAAACAAGGACUAAGAUCCACUGCCACUUCCAAAUAAGGCUACCACCACCAUGACCACCAUGACCACCACCACCACCAUGACCACCGCCACCACCACCACCACCACCACCACCACCACCACCACCACCACCACCACCACCACCACAGCACUCAGCGUGGCACAGAAGGAACAGAGCCAGGCGGAAAACAAGGACUAAGAUCCACUGCCACUUCCAAAUAAGGCUACCACCACCAUGACCACCAUGACCACCACCACCACCAUGACCACCGCCACCACCACCACCACCACCACCACCACCACCACCACCACCACCACCACCACCACAGCACUCAGCGUGGCACAGAAGGAACAGAGCCAGGCGGAAAACAAGGACUAAGAUCCACUGCCACUUCCAAAUAAGGCUAUCACCACCAUGACCACCAUGAUCACCACCACCACCAUGACCACCGCCACCACCACCACCACCACCACCACCACCACCACCACCACCACCACCACCACAGCACUCAGCGUGGCACAGAAGGAACAGAGCCAGGCGGAAAACAAGGACUAAGAUCCACUGCCACUUCCAAAUAAGGCUACCACCACCAUGACCACCAUGACCACCACCACCACCAUGACCACCGCCACCACCACCACCACCACCACCACCACCACCACCACCACAGCACUCAGCGUGGCACAGAAGGAACAGAGCCAGGCGGAAAACAAGGACUAAGAUCCACUGCCACUUCCAAAUAAGGCUACCACCACCAUGACCACCAUGACCACCACCACCACCAUGACCACCGCCGCCACCACCACCACCACCACCACCACCACCACCACCACCACCACCACCACCACCACCACCACAGCACUCAGCGUGGCACAGAAGGAACAGAGCCAGGCGGAAAACAAGGACUAAGAUCCACUGCCACUUCCAAAUAAGGCUACCACCACCAUGACCACCAUGACCACCACCACCACCAUGACCACCGCCACCACCACCACCACCACCACCACCACCACCACCACCACCACCACCACCACCACCACCACCACCACCACCACCACCACCACCACCACAGCACUCAGCGUGGCACAGAAGGAACAGAGCCAGGCGGAAAACAAGGACUAAGAUCCACUGCCACUUCCAAAUAAGGCUACCACCACCAUGACCACCAUGACCACCACCACCACCAUGACCACCACCACCACCAUGACCACCACCACCACCACCACCACCACCACCACCACCACCACCACCACCACCACCACCACCACCACCACCACCACCACCACCACCACCACCACCACCACCACAGCACUCAGCGUGGCACAGAAGGAACAGAGCCAGGCGGAAAACAAGGACUAAGAUCCACUGCCACUUCCAAAUAAGGCUACCACCACCAUGACCACCAUGACCACCACCACCACCAUGACCACCACCACCACCAUGACCACCACCACCACCACCACCACCACCACCACCACCACCACCACCACCACCACCACCACCACCACCACCACCACCACCACCACCACCACCACCACAGCACUCAGCGUGGCACAGAAGGAACAGAGCCAGGCGGAAAACAAGGACUAAGAUCCACUGCCACUUCCAA
Scylla paramamosain (green mud crab) is the source of this 2098-nucleotide long non-coding RNA. RefSeq lists it as uncharacterized. The record is from RefSeq and is a predicted model, not a curated record. Lineage: Eukaryota; Metazoa; Arthropoda; Malacostraca; Decapoda; Portunidae. The transcript has 11 exons.